UAAGCAGGCAGAGAUGGUCACUCCGCCACAUUUUGUGACGGGGAGGAAAGUCCGGGCUCCCCAGGGCAGCGUGCUGGAUAAUCUCCAGGCUUAAGGGACUAUAUUUCCUUAAGACGGAAAGUGCCACAGAAAAUAGACCGCCUGCCACAAAACUUGGCGAGGUAAGGGUGAAAAGGUGGCGUAAGAGACCACCGCUCUUGUGGUGACACAAGAGGCAGGGUAAACCCCACGCGGAGCAAGACCAAAUAAGAGAGAAGUAAUGUGCCCGUUACGCUCUUACUCUCGGGU
Molecule: RNase P RNA, 288 nt
Filed under: Candidatus Omnitrophota bacterium
Lineage: Bacteria; Pseudomonadati; Candidatus Omnitrophota
Description: partial RNase P RNA component class A
Rfam family: Bacterial RNase P class A
About the family: Ribonuclease P (RNase P) is a ubiquitous endoribonuclease, found in archaea, bacteria and eukarya as well as chloroplasts and mitochondria. Its best characterised activity is the generation of mature 5'-ends of tRNAs by cleaving the 5'-leader elements of precursor-tRNAs.
Source: RNAcentral